CGGAGAUGACUUUUGGAGAAUUUGGCAGUCUUGUUCUUAUUGGAUUAUGGGGCACCACUUUCAGAUAAAAACAUGGAUCUGAUUGGCAUCAUCCAGUAUCCAUGGAAACCCUGCUCCAUAAGAUUGGCAUUAUCCUGUAGUAGUGUCACAGCCUGCAGUCGUUUAAUGCCACUUCUUCUGAGGCCAGGAUUCCACGCCCAAGUGCAUUUAGUAGGUAACUUUUAAGAGUAAUACAUAUAUUUACUGUCUUAACACUUGAUGCAUACUCCACAGAAGACUAUGGAAGGACUUCCGUUGACUUCACUGGGUUUUGCUUGGUUUACCUUUCAUGAAAGCACAGGGAUGAGGAGG
Molecule: long non-coding RNA, 351 nt
Organism: Mauremys reevesii (Reeves's turtle)
Lineage: Eukaryota; Metazoa; Chordata; Testudines; Geoemydidae
Exons: 5
Source: RefSeq, a predicted model, not a curated record